Molecule: ribosomal RNA, 375 nt
Filed under: uncultured bacterium
Lineage: Bacteria
Description: bacterial SSU rRNA
Rfam family: Bacterial small subunit ribosomal RNA
Source: RNAcentral
UACGUAGGGGGCAAGCGUUAUCCGGAUUUACUGGGUGUAAAGGGAGCGUAGACGGCUGUGCAAGUCUGAAGUGAAAGGCAUGGGCUCAACCUGUGGACUGCUUUGGAAACUGUGCAGCUAGAGUGUCGGAGAGGUAAGUGGAAUUCCUAGUGUAGCGGUGAAAUGCGUAGAUAUUAGGAGGAACACCAGUGGCGAAGGCGGCUUACUGGACGAUGACUGACGUUGAGGCUCGAAAGCGUGGGGAGCAAACAGGAUUAGAUACCCUGGUAGUCCACGCCGUAAACGAUGACUGCUAGGUGUCGGGUAGCAAAGCUAUUCGGUGCCGCAGCUAACGCAAUAAGCAGUCCACCUGGGGAGUACGUUCGCAAGAAUGAA